Molecule: ribosomal RNA, 497 nt
Filed under: uncultured bacterium
Lineage: Bacteria
Description: partial 16S ribosomal RNA
Rfam family: Bacterial small subunit ribosomal RNA
Source: RNAcentral
GAUGAACGCUGGCGGCGUGCCUAAUACAUGCAAGUCGAGCGAACAGACGAGGAGCUUGCUCCUCUGACGUUAGCGGCGGACGGGUGAGUAACACGUGGAUAACCUACCUAUAAGACUGGGAUAACUUCGGGAAACCGGGGCUAAUACCGGAUAAUAUAUUGAACCGCAUGGUUCAAUAGUGAAAGACGGUUUUGCUGUCACUUAUAGAUGGAUCCGCGCCGCAUUAGCUAGUUGGUAAGGUAACGGCUUACCAAGGCAACGAUGCGUAGCCGACCUGAGAGGGUGAUCGGCCACACUGGAACUGAGACACGGUCCAGACUCCUACGGGAGGCAGCAGUAGGGAAUCUUCCGCAAUGGGCGAAAGCUUGACGGAGCAACGCCGCGUGAGUGAUGAAGGUCUUCGGAUCGUAAAACUCUGUUAUUAGGGAAGAACAAAUGUGUAAGUAACUAUGCACGUCUUGACGGUACCUAAUCAGGAAGCCACGGCUAACUACGUG